GACGAACGCUGGCGGCGUGCUUAACACAUGCAAGUCGAGCGGUAAGGCCCUUUCGGGGGUACGACGAGCGGCGAACGGGUGAGUAACACGUGGGUGACCUGCCCUCAGCUCUGGGAUAAGCCUGGGAAACCGGGUCUAAUACCGGAUAUGACUCCAUGACGCAUGUUGGUGGGGUGGAAAGCCUUGUGCGGCUGAGGAUGGGCCCGCGGCCUAUCAGCUUGUUGGUGGGGUGAGGCCUACCAAGGCGACGACGGGUAGCCGGCCUGAGAGGGCGACCGGCCACACUGGGACUGAGACACGGCCCAGACUCCUACGGGAGGCAGCAGUGGGGAAUCUUGCGCAAUGGGCGAAAGCCUGACGCAGCGACGCCGCGUGAGGGAUGACGGCCU
This 389-nucleotide ribosomal RNA is filed under the name uncultured bacterium. RNAcentral's name for it is "bacterial SSU rRNA". It matches the Rfam family "Bacterial small subunit ribosomal RNA", at positions 28 to 417 of the family's 1533-position model. The record is from RNAcentral.